Molecule: ribosomal RNA, 621 nt
Filed under: uncultured bacterium
Lineage: Bacteria
Description: bacterial SSU rRNA
Rfam family: Bacterial small subunit ribosomal RNA
Source: RNAcentral
GAUGAACGCUAGGGGCAUGCUUAACACAUGCAAGUCGAACGAUUCUAACAUUUUGUUUACAAAGUGUAAGGAAAGUGGCGGACGGGUGAGUAACGCGUAAGAACUUACCCCUAGGAGGGGAAUAACUGCUAGAAAUGGUAGGUAAUACCCCAUAAGCUGAGGAGUAAAUGGAUUAUUCCGCCUAGGGAUAGGCUUGCGUCUGAUUAGCUAGUUGGUAAAGUAAUGGUUUACCAAGGCAACGAUCAGUAGCUGGUCUGAGAGGAUGAUCAGCCACACUGGGACUGAGACACGGCCCAGACUCCUACGGGAGGCAGCAGUGAGGAAUUUUCCGCAAUGGGCGAAAGCCUGACGGAGCAAUGCCGCGUGGAGGAAGAAGGCCCGAGGGUUGUAAACUCCUUUUCUCAGAAAAGAAGAUCUGACGGUAUCUGAGGAAUAAGCAUCGGCUAACUCCGUGCCAGCAGCCGCGGUAGACGGAGGAUGCAAGCGUUAUCCGGAAUGAUUGGGCGUAAAGCGUCUGUAGGUGGUUUAUUAAGUCUGCUGUUAAAGCACAGGGCUCAACCCUGUAUAGGCGGUAGAAACUGGUAGGCUUGAGUAUGGUAGGGGUAGAGGGAAUUCCCGAUG